CAGAAAGACCUGCUGCCUGAGGUUGAUUUCGUCCUGUUCAAGGAUGAGAAUAACUUCAUGGAAAAUGGGACCUCUCCAAGGAUUAUCAACAAAAAGAGCUCCUACAGGAUGCCAGAUCCAAAGUAAAAGAAGAACUCGAGGCACAUCAAAACUACCACUGGCACUAAUGAUACAAGACCCGACCCUGAUCUCGAGGACCUAAAAGACCCUUGCCCCAUUUUUUUAGGUUCCACGUCACCCCCUUUCAGCAGGCAGUAGCUUAAUGAGGACGACACCCAAAUUCCCAUGAUUGGGUUCCUAAGGUCCUUGAGAAGGCGGGAAUGUAAGGACCAAGUUUGCAAGUCAAGGAGGGCUCCCUCUGUGCCCUUUGCCCACCUCUGCC
RNAcentral lists this long non-coding RNA (382 nucleotides) under Fukomys damarensis (Damara mole-rat). RNAcentral describes it as "lncRNA (ENSFDAG00000023029.1)". The record is from RNAcentral. Lineage: Eukaryota; Metazoa; Chordata; Mammalia; Rodentia; Bathyergidae.